Molecule: long non-coding RNA, 1046 nt
Organism: Homo sapiens (human)
Lineage: Eukaryota; Metazoa; Chordata; Mammalia; Primates; Hominidae
Source: Ensembl
ACGUGCACGCAAACGCUGACAACAGCGGCAGGCGCCUUUUAAGCGCUCAGGACAGCCAGAGCGGGAUGCACGCCUAGGCAGACAGGGCAUCCACAUUAAUCUGGAUAAAGGCUGCUUCUUCAGCCACAGCUAAGGUGCAUGUAAUAGGAAUGAGAGCCACCUGUGUUUCAGAAAGCGUCUGGGAUUUUAGAGCUGCUUGUAACUGCAGCCUAACACAGCCUCAGCCGACUGAUACAUCCAGUGUCGUCAAAACAGAGCAGUGAACCAAGCAGCCGGCUCAUUGUUUGAGAAACAGUUGUUUCAUGGGUGAAUUGACCUCAUCUUCGGCAGCCACCGGUUUGCUAAGCAUUUACUUUGAACAUUUCUAUGGCUGGAGUACAAUGGCACGAUCUCGGCUCACUGCAACCUCCGCCUCCCAGGUUCAAGCGAUUCUCCUGCCUCAGCCUCCCGAUAGCUGGGAUUACAGUUUUCCAUAGACCACAUGAGUUCUGAUAAUCCUGAAAACGAUUUGCUCUCUUCUCCAAUGCUGAAUGAAGACUACCUCAUCCCUUCCUUCUUGCUUCUAACAGCAGAUCAGAUCUCCAGGUUCGAAGUUCCUAGAUGUGCUUUCUGAUCCUGGUUAUUCUUUGUCAGCCUUCAAAGCCAAAGCCUUACUGACGUGCAGAUCCAAGGAAAAGUUUCUUUCCUCAUUGUGUGUUGCCUAUGUUUAUAACCACAUACACACAUAAACAUGUAAACUCUGCAUUUCAGAAAGCAAUGAUUUGUUAUCCAUAUCUUAUCUAUACAUUUCUGCUUUGACAUUUUAUUAAAAACAUAAAAAUGAGUACGGUAACCCAAUUUGAAUCCUUUAACUCAAAAAGUUUAUUUAUGUAUACAUAAACUGAUUAAACACUUUUUUUUUUUGCCUUAGGAGGUACAUGAAUAUGUUUUAAAAUCUCCAUAAAAUAGCACAAGGUGCUCUGUGUAAACUUACCCAGAACAUACAAAUAAUUGUAAAAUAACUGAAGGGCUAAUAAAAUAAACUCAUGUAUCUGCUGUAAAUGUUA